Molecule: transfer RNA, 89 nt
Filed under: Candidatus Omnitrophota bacterium
Lineage: Bacteria; Pseudomonadati; Candidatus Omnitrophota
Description: tRNA-Ser
Rfam family: tRNA
About the family: Transfer RNA (tRNA) molecules are approximately 80 nucleotides in length. Their secondary structure includes four short double-helical elements and three loops (D, anti-codon, and T loops). Further hydrogen bonds mediate the characteristic L-shaped molecular structure. tRNAs have two regions of fundamental functional importance: the anti-codon, which is responsible for specific mRNA codon recognition, and the 3' end, to which the tRNAs corresponding amino acid is attached (by aminoacyl-tRNA synthetases). tRNAs cope with the degeneracy of the genetic code in two manners: having more than one tRNA (with a specific anti-codon) for a particular amino acid; and 'wobble' base-pairing, i.e. permitting non-standard base-pairing at the 3rd anti-codon position.
Source: RNAcentral
GGAGAGAUGGCUGAGUGGUCGAAAGCGAAUCACUGCUAAUGAUUCGACCUGAGAAAUCGGGUCCCUGGGUUCGAAUCCCAGUCUCUCCG